GAUGAACGCUAGCGGCAGGCCUAAUACAUGCAAGUCGAACGAGAUUAAGAGGCUUGCUUCUUAUGAAAGUGGCGCACGGGUGCGUAACGCGUAUGCAACCUACCUUAAUCAGGGGGAUAGCCCGAAGAAAUUCAGAUUAAGACCGCAUAAAAACACAGGAUAGCAUUAUCCAAUGUUCAAAUAUUUAUAGGAUUAAGAUGGGCAUGCGUGUCAUUAGCUAGUUGGCGGGGUAACGGCCCACCAAGGCGACGAUGACUAGGGGAUCUGAGAGGAUGACCCCCCACACUGGUACUGAGACACGGACCAGACUCCUACGGGAGGCAGCAGUAAGGAAUAUUGGUCGAUGGAGGGAACUCUGAACCAGCCAUGCCGCGUGCAGGAAGACAGCCCCCUGGGUCGUAAACUGCUUUUAUUCGGGAAUAAACCUUUCUACGUGUAGGAAGCUGAAUGUACCGAAGGAAUAAGGAUCGGCUAACUCCGUGCCAGCCGCCGCGGUAA
RNAcentral lists this ribosomal RNA (498 nucleotides) under uncultured bacterium. RNAcentral describes it as "partial 16S ribosomal RNA". It matches the Rfam family "Bacterial small subunit ribosomal RNA", at positions 28 to 523 of the family's 1533-position model. The record is from RNAcentral.